UGUCACCGAUAGCGCAUAGUACCGUGAGGGAACGGUGAAAAGAACCCAGAGAUGGGAGUGAAAUAGAACCUGAAACCAUAAGCUUACAAGGAGUCAGAGCACAUUAAUGUGUGAUGGCGUGCCUUUUGAAGUAUGAGCCUGCGAGUUAUUGUUAUAUGCGAGGUUAAGCAGUAGAUGUGGAGCCGUAGGGAAACCGAGUCUUAAUAGGGCGAUUAGUAUAUGACAAUAGACGCGAAACGGGAUGAUCUAGUCAUGAGCAGGUUGAAGGUGGAGUAACAUCCACUGGAGGACCGAACCCACGUUCGUUGAAACGACCGGGGAUGACUUGUGACUAGCGGUGAAAUUCCAAUCGAAUUCCGUGAUAGCUCGUUCUCGCCGAAAUAUUUUUAGGAAUAGCCUUGGAUUACGAAACAUUGGGGGUAAAGCUCUGAAACUACAAUGGCGUCAUCUCGACGUACUGAGUAGUAUUAAACUGCAAAUACCAUUGUUUUUAUUCCAGGAGUCAGACGAUGGGGGAUAAGCUUCAUUGUCGCGAGGGUAACAGCCCAGACCAUUAAUUAAGGUCCCCAAUAUAUGCUAAGUGGAAAACGAUGUUGAUUUUCUUAGACAGUAAGGAUGUUGGCUCAGAAGCAGCCACCGUUUAAAGAGUGCGUAACAGCUCACUUAUCGAGAGAAUCUGCGCGGAAGAUGUAACGGGGCUAAGCAUAUAACCGAAGUUAUGGAUCAUGUGUAAACAUGGUGGUAGGCGAGCGUUGUAAUUGCAGCGAAGGUAGAGCGUGAGCACUAUUGGAGCGAUUACAAGUGAGAAUGCAGGUGUGAGUAACGAAUGAAAGUGAGAAUCUUUCAAGCCGAUAGACUAAGGUUUCCUGGGCAAGGGUCGUCCUCCCAGGGUUAGUCGGUACCUAAGAUGAGGCAGAAAUGCGUAGUCGAUGGACAACAGGUUAAUAUUCCUGUACUAAUUACUAGAAUGAUGGAAUGACGGAGAAGGUUAAUAGGAGCCACUUAUUGGAUUGUGGUUCAAAUAGCAACUGAGACGGGACAGGCAAAUCCGUUCCGUGUAAUCAGGAGUUAUGACGACGAGCGAACGUUUCGACCAGUAGCGUAGUCCUAAACAUCAUGCUUCCAAGAAAAGUUUCUAAGUUUAUCUAGUAAUUAUCCGUACCGAGAACGAACACACGUGGUCAGGUAUAAAUGUACCAAGGCUUGCGAGUUAACUACAGUUAAGGAACUCUGCAAAUUGACCCCGUAAGUUAGCGAUAAGGGGUGCUCCAUUAUGUGGAGCCGCAGUGAAUAGCGAGGGGGGACUGUUUAACAAAAACACAGCUUUAUGCUAAGUCGUAAGACGAUGUAUAUGAGGUGACACCUGCCCAAUGCUGUAAGGUUAAAGAAGGGUGUUAGUAGCAAUACGAAGCUCGUGACUGAAGCCCCAGUGAAUGGCGGCCGUAACUAUAACGGUCCUAAGGUAGCGAAAUUCCUUGUCGGGUAAAUUCCGUCCCGCUUGAAU
Molecule: ribosomal RNA, 1504 nt
Filed under: feces metagenome
Description: bacterial LSU rRNA
Rfam family: Bacterial large subunit ribosomal RNA
Source: RNAcentral